Molecule: ribosomal RNA, 491 nt
Filed under: uncultured bacterium
Lineage: Bacteria
Description: partial 16S ribosomal RNA
Rfam family: Bacterial small subunit ribosomal RNA
Source: RNAcentral
AGUGAACGCUGGCGGUAGGCCUAACACAUGCAAGUCGAACGGCAGCACAGUAAGAGCUUGCUCUUACGGGUGGCGAGUGGCGGACGGGUGAGGAAUACAUCGGAAUCUACUUUUUCGUGGGGGAUAACGUAGGGAAACUUACGCUAAUACCGCAUACGACCUACGGGUGAAAGCAGGGGAUCUUCGGACCUUGCGCGAUUGAAUGAGCCGAUGUCGGAUUAGCUAGUUGGCGGGGUAAAGGCCCACCAAGGCGACGAUCCGUAGCUGGUCUGAGAGGAUGAUCAGCCACACGGAAACUGAGACACGGUCCAGACUCCUACGGGAGGCAGCAGUGGGGAAUAUUGGACAAUGGGCGCAAGCCUGAUCCAGCCAUACCGCGUGGGUGAAGAAGGCCUUCGGGUUGUAAGCCCUUUUGUUGGGAAAGAAAAGCAGCAGGUUAAUACCCCGCUGUUCUGACGGUACCCAAAGAAUAAGCACCGGCUAACUUCGUG